RNAcentral lists this ribosomal RNA (210 nucleotides) under uncultured bacterium. RNAcentral describes it as "partial 16S ribosomal RNA". It matches the Rfam family "Bacterial small subunit ribosomal RNA", at positions 129 to 334 of the family's 1533-position model. The record is from RNAcentral.
CCUGGUAGCGGGGGGUAACUAUUGGAAACGAUAGCUAAUACCGCAUAACAGUAGAUAUUGCAUGAUAUCUGCUUGAAAGGUGCAAUUGCAUCACUACCAGAUGGACCUGCGUUGUAUUAGCUAGUUGGUGAGGUAACGGCUCACCAAGGCAACGAUACAUAGCCGACCUGAGAGGGUGAUCGGCCACACUGGGACUGAGACACGGCCCAG